Molecule: non-coding RNA, 148 nt
Organism: Nomascus leucogenys (northern white-cheeked gibbon)
Lineage: Eukaryota; Metazoa; Chordata; Mammalia; Primates; Hylobatidae
Rfam family: Metazoan signal recognition particle RNA
About the family: The signal recognition particle (SRP) is a universally conserved ribonucleoprotein. It is involved in the co-translational targeting of proteins to membranes. The eukaryotic SRP consists of a 300-nucleotide 7S RNA and six proteins: SRPs 72, 68, 54, 19, 14, and 9.
Source: Rfam
GCCGGGUGUGGUGAUGCACACCUGUAGUCCUAGCUACUCAGGAGGCUGGGGCGGGAGGAUUGCUUGAGCCCAGGAGGUCAAGGCUGCAGUGAGCUGUGAUCCUGCCACUGCAUUCCAUCCUGGGUGACAGGGCAAGAUCCUGUCUCAA